Molecule: ribosomal RNA, 1880 nt
Filed under: human gut metagenome
Description: bacterial LSU rRNA
Rfam family: Bacterial large subunit ribosomal RNA
Source: RNAcentral
UCAAGCUACAAAGAGCGCAAGGGGAAUGCCUUGGCACCAGGAGCCGACGAAGGACGCAGCAAUCUGCGAAAAGCCACGGGGAGCCGAAAGCAGGCAUCGAUCCGUGGAUGUCCGAAUGGGGAAACCCGGCUGAGUGAAGCUCAGUCAGCGUACACUGAAUCCAUAGGUGUGCGUGGGGAACCGCCUGAACUGAAACAUCUAAGUAGGGCGAGGAAAAGAAAUCAACCGAGAUUCCGCAAGUAGUGGCGAGCGAACGCGGAAGAGGCCAAACCGGCUGUAGAAAUAUGGCCGGGGUAAGGACAGCAAAAUGUAUGUUGGACCCUAGCAGAAGGGCAUGGGACGGCCCACCACAGAGAGUGAUAGUCUCGUAUGCGAAAGGGAAAAACAGCAGGCUGUAUCCAGAGUACCACUGGACACGUGAAACCCGGUGGGAAUAUGGGGGGACCACCCUCCAAGCCUAAAUACUCCCUGGUGACCGAUAGUGAAGAGUACUGUGAAGGAAAGGUGAAAAGAACCCCGGGAGGGGAGUGAAAAGAACCUGAAACCUUGUGCUUACAAGCACACAGAGCACGUCAAGGUGUGAUGUGGUACCUUUUGUAGAAUGGUCCGGCGAGUGAAUGUAACGAGCAAGGUUAAGCACUUUAGGUGUGGAGCCGAAGCGAAAGCAAGUCUGAAAAGGGCGAGAAGUUCGUUGUAUUCGACCCGAAACCGGGUGACCUAGCCAUGUCCAGGCUGAAGUGAAGGUAAAACUUCAUGGAGGGCCGAACCCACUCCCGUUGAAAUGGUAGGGGAUGAGGUGUGGCUAGCGGAGAAAUUCCAAUCGAACCCGGAGAUAGCUGGUUCUCUCCGAAAUAGCUUUAGGGCUAGCCUCGACUGAACAUUACCGGAGGUAAAGCACUGAAUGGGCUAGGGGCCGAGAGGUUACUGAACCCUAUCAAACUAAGAAUGCCGGAUAAUGAUAGUCGGGAGUCAGACAGUGUGAGAUAAGUUUCAUUGUCGAAAGGGAAACAGCCCAGACCCACAGCUAAGGUCCCAAAGUAUCGUUAAGUGGAAAAGGAUGUGGAACUGCCCAGACAACCAGGAUGUUGGCUCAGAAGCAGCCAUACAUUCAAAGAGUGCGUAAUAGCUCACUGGUCGAGUGGUUCUGCGCCGAAAAUUUAACGGGGCUAAACGAUACACCGAAGCUUGGGAUGCAGCAUUGGCUGCAUGGUAGGAGAGCGUUCUGUACGGGGUGAAGUCAUAGCGGAAGCGGUGGUGGACUGUACAGAAGAGAGAAUGCCGGAAUGAGUAGCGAGAUUUAUGUGAGAAUCAUAAAGGCCGAAAGACUAAGGAUUUAGAAGGAAGGUUCGUCCGCUUCUAGUUAGCCGGGAGCUAAGGCGAGGCCGAAAGGCGUAGUCGAUGCACAUACGGUGGAGAUUCCGUAGCCGCCUCUUAAUUUAAGCAAAGGGACACUUUCAAAGGGAAUGACCCGGGCGUUGGUAGCCCCGGGCGAAAGGGACCGAAAUUAGAGUAGGGAAGCAUUUCUGGAGGAAGGCGAGAAAAGCUUUGCGGAUAGAGAGAGGCGCCCGUACCGCAAACCGACACAGGUAGUCAGGAAGAGGAUUCUAAGGCCAACGGGAGAAGGGUAGUUAAGGAACUCGGCAAAUUGACCCCGUAACUUCGGAAUAAGGGGUGCUCCUGAAAAGGAGCCGCAGUGAAUAGGCCCAGGCGACUGUUUAUCAAAAACACAGCUCUCUGCUAAAUCGAAAGAUGAAGUAUAGGGGGUGACACCUGCCCGGUGCUGGAAGGUUAAGAGGAAGGGUGCAAGCUCUGAAUUGAAGCCCCAGUAAACGGCGGCCGUAACUAUAACGGUCCUAAGGUAGCGAAAUUCCUUGUCGGGU